RNAcentral lists this unclassified non-coding RNA (345 nucleotides) under soil metagenome. Its description in RNAcentral is "partial contains 5.8S ribosomal RNA, internal transcribed spacer 2, and large subunit ribosomal RNA". The stretch from base 1 to 120 matches the Rfam family "5.8S ribosomal RNA", at positions 35 to 154 of the family's 154-position model. The record is from RNAcentral.
GAUGAAGAAUGUAGCGAAAUGCGAUACGUAAUGUGAAUUGCAGAAUUCAGUGAAUCAUCGAGUCUUUGAACGCACAUUGCGCCCCCUGGUAUUCCGGGGGGCAUGCCUGUCCGAGCGUCAUUGCUGCCCUCAAGCACGGCUUGUGUGUUGGGCCUCCGUCCUCCUCCCGGGGGACGGGCCCGAAAGGCAGCGGCGGCACCGCGUCCGGUCCUCGAGCGUAUGGGGCUUCGUCACCCGCUCUUGUAGGCCCGGCCGGCGCUUGCCGACACAUCAAUCUUUUUUCCAGGUUGACCUCGGAUCAGGUAGGGAUACCCGCUGAACUUAAGCAUAUCAAUAAGCGGAGGA